CCAAUAGCGUAUAUUAAAGUUGUUGCAGUUAAAAAGCUCGUAGUUGAAUUUCGGGAUCAGUACGCUGGUCGUGCCUUUGGUAUGUACUGGUGUCACUGAUUCCUCCCUUCUGAAGAACCGUUAUGCCAUUUAUUUGGUGUGGCGGGAAAUCAGGACUGUUACUUUGAAAAAAUUAGAGUGUUUAAAGCAGGCUCGCGCUUGAAUACAUUAGCAUGGAAUAAUGAAAUAGGACGUUUGAUCUUAUUUUGUUGGUUUCUAGGAUCGACGUAAUGAUUAAUAGGUAUAGUUGGGGGCAUUAGUAUUAAAUUGUCAGAGGUGAAAUUCUUGGAUUUAUUGAAGACUAACUACUGCGAAAGCAUUUGCCAAGGAUGUUUUCAUUAAUCAAGAACGAAAGUUAGGGGAUCGAAGACGAUCAGAUACCGUCGUAGUCUUAACCAUAAACUAUGCCGACUAGGGAUCGGAUGAUGUUAAUUUUUUAAUGACUCAUUCGGCGCCUUACG
RNAcentral lists this ribosomal RNA (500 nucleotides) under uncultured Glomeromycotina. RNAcentral describes it as "partial small subunit ribosomal RNA". It matches the Rfam family "Eukaryotic small subunit ribosomal RNA", at positions 591 to 1092 of the family's 1831-position model. The record is from RNAcentral. Lineage: Eukaryota; Fungi; Glomeromycota.